Molecule: transfer RNA, 74 nt
Filed under: Spirochaetota bacterium
Lineage: Bacteria; Pseudomonadati; Spirochaetota
Also listed under: 1 other name
Description: Spirochaetes bacterium tRNA-Arg
Rfam family: tRNA
About the family: Transfer RNA (tRNA) molecules are approximately 80 nucleotides in length.
Source: RNAcentral
GCGUCCGUAGCUCAGCUGGAUAGAGCGCCGGACUUCGAAUCCGUAGGUCGCAGGUUCGAAUCCUGCCGGGCGUG